Puntigrus tetrazona (Sumatra barb) is the source of this 206-nucleotide long non-coding RNA. RefSeq lists it as uncharacterized. Lineage: Eukaryota; Metazoa; Chordata; Actinopteri; Cypriniformes; Cyprinidae. The transcript is spliced from 3 exons. The record is from RefSeq and is a predicted model, not a curated record.
UGCAGUCUAGUUUUACAGGUUACAGAUCCUAUUUGAUGCUGAUUAUAAUACAGGACUCGGUCACCUCAGCGUCCCGCGGUUCUCCCUGCGGAAGAGUAAUCCUGUUAGGAGCGUCGAGCAGUCAGGCGUACGGGAAUGUGCCGUGACGAGGAGAGAUCAGGAGUGGAAGUCCUGACCGAGUUAGCACGCUGACCUUUGACCCCCCC